RNAcentral lists this long non-coding RNA (276 nucleotides) under Brassica napus (rape). Its description in RNAcentral is "long non-coding RNA (BNAP_LNC027088)". Lineage: Eukaryota; Viridiplantae; Streptophyta; Magnoliopsida; Brassicales; Brassicaceae. The record is from RNAcentral.
UCUAGCUACAAGACAAGACUAGUUUUAGGCCCUACCUGAUGACAACUGUACUGUCUAUCACUCGUGUGUGUCUCGUCGACGAGAAGGCGACGUGCACGUGUGGUUGCUCCACUCUGUGCGAGUGCAACGCAAAUUUCUCCAAUGCGAGAAGAACUCGCACCAUCUUCUCUUAAUGUAGAGAUCAUCCUUCUUUUUUUUUUUUUUUUUUUUUUUUUUGUCAUCAACAAUUCAGACUCAUACAGACUCUGUAAACCAAACAGAGUCUGUAGAGAUCAU